GUUAUUCUUUCGUCCGGUAUUGUUCCGCCGUGAUGGGCUAAUUUAUAAAUGCUAACGAAAGUUACGCACUUGCAGCUUAAUUAAUUUAUUAAUUAAGUUACGGGGUUUGGGGCACCUGGCAACAGAACGCCCCUUAA
RNAcentral lists this transfer-messenger RNA (137 nucleotides) under Pelagibacteraceae bacterium TMED287. Its description in RNAcentral is "partial transfer-messenger RNA". It matches the Rfam family "Alphaproteobacteria transfer-messenger RNA", at positions 180 to 355 of the family's 355-position model. From Rfam's summary of the family: Bacterial tmRNA, also known as 10Sa RNA or SsrA, is named for its dual tRNA and mRNA-like properties. The record is from RNAcentral. Lineage: Bacteria; Pseudomonadati; Pseudomonadota; Alphaproteobacteria; Candidatus Pelagibacterales; Candidatus Pelagibacteraceae.